CCUGUUUAAAGGAGCGAGCAUGUUGCUUCCUUUCCCGGAGGAAAGGCAGAAAGCUAAGGCUGCUCAGCUCUGGACACACCGACUGCCAUGUGGAAAGGGCACCUUUACGCAGAGCUGCCAUCGCGUCCUUCCUGAUGCACGCAGGGUGCGGGUAGGCAGGGCUGCCGUGACCCUGCACCCACUGAAAGCUAAGGGCACCCUUAUCUGUGCACGGCCAUCCUCUUCAAACGUCAAGCCUUUGUUUGAUUGUUUCUUUAACAUCACUCUUUUUAAACCAAAUUAAUCCAUCUCUUUUGGCCUCAGACCAUGCAUCAAAUUCAUGAAGCAAAGCAAAUAUUUGCCAAUGUACUUUAUUACUUCUAAGAAAUUGUAAUGAAAUCCAGCGAUACAGUAUCUUUGGAAACACAAUUUCUGCUAUGUAUUUGCAUCUGAGUUUGUUCUCACAUCCACAGUAACACCUACAUUUUGCAUACAUUCCUUGUUUAUUCUCACGUAUAGAAUCAUUCAGAAUUUUUAAAGUUUGGCACAUUUCUUUAUUCUGGCUUCAGAUGAAGGUUGGGUAAGGCAAGUAUUGCAUGCACCUAUUUGAUAAAGACGUCUUUCUUACACACUGACUUUAAGAUGUGUUGCAAAUCAAUGUUUCAGAAAAAAAAAGUGCUACUGCAGUGCACACAGAUUUCCUUACAUCGGUACAGAGAAUUUGCAACCCUCCUCUCCGCCCAAACAUUGGGAUUCUGAGCUAUAGAAAUGCCACAGCAACACAGACAGUUCUUCCAAGCAAUAGUGGUAUAAAAUAAAAAAUUCAUGAACAAGCUUGCUUAUUGCAUAGUCUUCAAAUACUACUGAAAAAAAAAUAAAAAUCCCAAAGUGGUUUAUAGCUAAAUACAGGACUGCAGCUUUAUUUUUAUCUUGCCUUUCCUUCCUUCCUCCAGAGCCACGUACAACUAAAAAUGCACGCUGUAAUCAGCAUAUGGAAACCUCAACACUAUUCCACUUCAUCGCUACGACACCGUCUCUCCCCCAGCUUGGCCGGCUCCCCGCAGCGAGCAGCACGCCGCGAGGGGGACACCCUACUGCUCCGCGUAUUGGGAACACAGAAGCUGGGAUCAAGCCGAGUGUGAUCCACCCGAAACCUCCCUGUCGCUCUCUUCUACCACUAAACUGCAGCCCGAUACAGUCACUGUGCCAUUUUAGCAAGCACAACUGCCCCUUGGAGCAUGCUCCACCAGGUCUCAGAGCUGCACCAGCCUUGGUUUUCUUCGGGCACACAGGAAAGCUUUGCUGCUGGCAGUGCGGUCCCCAGAGACCGAAGGCACACGGAAGAGAGCAGUGACAGCCCAGGUGCCCGCCUGCACCAGCUGCAGCUGUGCCCAGCCACCUGCCCUGCGGAGCUCAUCGAAGGUGGUUCUGGUCCUUAGCACCCAGAGACAGCCUUGCCUCAGAGGACACCCCACAGGCUGGUAGCUUGUCGCAGCGCGUUUUAGGAUUUUACCACUAUUUUUGACUGCAUACGUCAAUGAUGAGGAUGGACACAACCCAAGUUCCUCUGAUGCUUCCUCGCAUGCUGCGCAGGACAUGCUUGGCAGCCAGCCCGUGCCAUCUCUCACCCUCGGAGCAGGAGCUCUUCUCUGAGCCCUGAGCUCCCCCUCUAGAAGGCGAGUCCCAUCCCCUUCUCUUCCCCCGCAGCAAGAAGAACAAGGUCCCACAAGAGCACGUGGGUUUCCAAGCUCCUGGCCCACCCCCAGCCCUGGUCCCAUCAGCUGCUGCCUGUGAACAGAGCCCUGCAGGAAAUUCUGCCCUUUCGUUUUCUAUAUUUAUUAAAAUAUAUAUAAUCAUCAUUUAUUUGCUUCUCCUCCCACAGCUCUUAUGGUUACCGGGUUACAGUUGUCAUUACCCCUUCUUCUCUCUUUUUUUUUUUUUUCCCUUCUGAGUGACAUCCCUGUGGGGUCUCCUAAUGGCCCGAGCGCGUAGGGAGAGGCAGGCGCUGCCUCCGGAGCUGGGCUGCGCCCCUCUGCUGCUGCUGCACGCGUGGGCGCCGCUCUCUUGGCCAGGAGCUGAGUGCCCUUCUGCAAGGGGCCAUGCUGGGGAAGAGCGCACACAGGACACAAGGCUUUUCCCCCCAAAACACGUUUUAAACAUCUCUUCUGUCUUCUAAACACAAGUCUCAUAGCCAAGAGGUAAGCGAUUGCAAUCAGAACGCCUCCCAGCCUUAAAAAUAAUCCACGAGGAGCAAAAGUGCUGCAGGAUGCACGAACGGAGCCUUCCCCAGCACGCCCUCAUGAAACACCACUUGAAAGGAGCGUUCAUGGAGGGCAACUCCACAGACCAAGCGU
This 2333-nucleotide long non-coding RNA is filed under the name Anser brachyrhynchus (Pink-footed goose). RNAcentral's name for it is "lncRNA (ENSABRG00000021995.1)". The record is from RNAcentral. Lineage: Eukaryota; Metazoa; Chordata; Aves; Anseriformes; Anatidae.